UCUCCUUUUACUUUGUUUUAGAAGUGUGAAAGAAUCCUUUUAAAUGAGGGUAUAUUGAACACUACUGCCACUAGUGCCACAUUGCACUUCCAGGAUGGCAUGAGGAGGAGGACUGAGAGCUGAUUGGAAGAGCAGUGGCAUGCUCAAGCCAAGUUCCUGAUGUGGACAACUGGAGAUGAGCAGAUCCCAGCACACGUCAGGGAGUCAGUAAGCUGCUCCACUACUGUGGAUGUAGACUGGGGACCCCUCUCCCUCCCCCACAAGAGAGGGAGAGAAAAUUAGAUAGAUUGCUUGGAUCCAUCAGACAGACUCCAACGGAGAAGGAGAUGGACCAACACUACCUACAACAGUGCUACCACCACCCAGAGAGAUUAUUGCUACCUGAGGGCAAAGUAAUUGCUUCCUGACAGAAUCUGAGACACAGGAGUGAGGACUUGGGAUGGACGGAAGUUGUUUCUCCUUUGUUCAAAGUGAAAGCAUAACCAAUAACUUCUCAAUGAGUUUGAUCAAGUGGAAAAGUUUAUUUACUCCUGAGAGAUGUCUAGGUCUGUUGGAGAGCCUCUGUUUGCCUGGCACUAAGGAAGCUUGACUUUAAUCCUGCUUCUAGCAGUGUCCCACUCUAUGAAUGUGGAAAGUCAGCUCAGCUUUAAAAUGGAGCCUGGACUGGAUAUUCUCAACAGCUGUGCAGUUCUGGACAACUGAGAAGCAACUCACUGCCAACUGCUUGACUUUUCACCAGCACCAGGAAUAUCUUAAAAGUUUCACUGUGCUACAGAUAAGAAGGCAUAACAGUGCAGUGUUCUGGUGGUGUGACUGCAGACUGGCAAAC
Molecule: long non-coding RNA, 829 nt
Filed under: Apteryx owenii (little spotted kiwi)
Lineage: Eukaryota; Metazoa; Chordata; Aves; Apterygiformes; Apterygidae
Description: lncRNA (ENSAOWG00000000689.1)
Source: RNAcentral